UAGGGAAUCUUCCGCAAUGGACGAAAGUCUGACGGAGCAACGCCGCGUGAGCGAAGAAGGUCUUCGGAUCGUAAAGCUCUGUUGUUAGGGAAGAACAAGUACCGGAGUAACUGUCGGUACCUUGACGGUACCUAACCAGAAAGCCACGGCUAACUACGUGCCAGCAGCCGCGGUAAUACGUAGGUGGCAAGCGUUGUCCGGAAUCAUUGGGCGUAAAGCGCGCGCAGGCGGUCCUUUAAGUCUGAUGUGAAAUCUUGCGGCUCAACCGUAAGCGGUCAUUGGAAACUGGGGGACUUGAGUGCAGGAGAGGAAAGCGGAAUUCCAUGUGUAGCGGUGAAAUGCGUAGAGAUAUGGAGGAACACCAGUGGCGAAGGCGGCUUUCUGGCCUGUAACUGACGCUGAGGCGCGAAAGCGUGGGGAGCAAACAGG
RNAcentral lists this ribosomal RNA (429 nucleotides) under uncultured bacterium. RNAcentral describes it as "bacterial SSU rRNA". It matches the Rfam family "Bacterial small subunit ribosomal RNA", at positions 355 to 776 of the family's 1533-position model. RNAcentral also lists the same sequence under 3 other names. The record is from RNAcentral.